This 28-nucleotide non-coding RNA is filed under the name Homo sapiens (human). The record is from RNAcentral. Lineage: Eukaryota; Metazoa; Chordata; Mammalia; Primates; Hominidae.
UGAGAGCACCUACAUAUGUAAAGAAUGU